GCAGAGCGAGUGUCUGAAGAUCCACAGUGCUCAAUGCAGCUCCUGUGCUGGGUCCCUGUAUUACUCGGAGCAAAAAGCCUCAAAGUUCCAACAAAGAGUGCAGGCAGAAAAGUGAUUGGAGUGUGCUCUGCAAAUGCACUUGAGGAAAGCGGAACCACAGGGUCAGAGAGAAGCUGGAAACUUUCAAGCCUACAUGAAAAAAUGAGGUUUGUAGAGAAGAAAAGGUGAGGAAAGGGAGCAGACAGAGAUGACCAGUGACACCCCAGCAAAAUCUGCCCUGUGGCUACUGAGAGAAAAUUGCAAGUGACUCGUAAGAAAAAAGUCAAAUUUCUACUCUUGGUAAAAUAUACUCACUGCAUGGAAAUAGCCAAUAUCACUGGAUAAAAUUCACAGUUUUAGUGAAGGAUCAACAGAAUCUCUUAAAAGGAAUUACAAACUAGUGAAAUACGUGGUGAUUAUUGGGUUUUGAGUAGUAUACUAAGAACAUAUUUUUCUUAUCCCAUCAUCAUCCUUUUCCAAGACGGAAUUUAGCAACAAUAUUGCCUACUGUCUGCUGCUUCAUAAAUUAUAUUCUCCAAGAAUUGAUAGCAUUAGUCAUUACUAAACUUGUUGCAAUCAUCGAACUAUAAUUUUGUUCACUUUCAGGAGUCUGAAAACAGAACUGAACACUAAACUCUAAUGGGUACUAAUUAUGUUGAAACAUAUUCACUGGAUACUUUAGCAGUUCUCAAAAUGAACACAGCAUCUUCAAGACCAUUUCAGUGUACAAGUAAAUUGAAAUCAAUUUUCAUGAGAUUACGUUAAUGACAACUGUUUUCGCUACGUUGACUUUUAUACUGAAUGUCCAAAAAAACUAUUAAUACUAUACUUCUGGUAUUUUAGAACAAACCAAGGCCAUUACCAAACUGUGUGGCCACUUUUUUUCACUACCAGUACAUCCACUUCCGCUUAAGAAUGCCCUUGAUGACAGGUAGUAGGAAGAGUGUUUCCAUUUGGGUUAAUAAAAAUGACCUAAGUUUGACUGUGGGCAUAGUUGUACAAUUCUGUCAAUGUGCUAACAUCUACUGAAUCUUACACUUCAAGUUUGUAAAUUGUGCGGUAUGCAAAUUUUUAGCUUACUAAAGUGGUUUUAUUUUUAAAAAAGAAUGCCCUUGAUCAAACAGCAAAAAUCAUUGUUGUUAAAUCUGGACCCUUGAGUGCAUGUGUUUUUAAUAUGUCAAGUGACAAGAUGGGAAGUACACAUACUAUUACUGCAUACCAAAUUUCAGUGGCUGUUAUGAGAAAAAUCAUUUCUGUAAUUGUUUCAACUGUGAACUGAACUUUAUUUUCUUUAGUAAAAGGUGAAAGAUUUAUAUGAUCUGAAGAGAAACCAGACACUACAUUUUCAUAAAACAUAAUUUUUACUGAAAAGAACAACUGGAAGACAGAUAUGAUUAUUCAGAUUGGAUAUUUGGCAUAUACUUUCUUAAAACUGAAUAAAGUAAGCCUGUCCCUUAAAGAAAACAGCUGAACAACUGACAGUAUUUAUUGCCAAUAACAAUUUAAGCUUCAAGUGAAAGCUUCCAUUAGCUUGACAGCUUUCCAAUACUUAAAGAAUUUUCUUAUGAAUUUGUUGGUGAAAUUAAUGAACAGAAAUUCUUGAUAUUGCAAAAUGAAAUUCAUCAACAUUUACAAGAGGUGCAUAACUCAGCAUCACAAUAUUUUCUAAAUGUUCAAUGCAUCAUAUUAAAAAAAUCACCUGAAUACCUUCAAAUUACAUGAUAGACAGUGGAUUCUAAAGUUAAAAAAAAGUUUAUUGUUAUAAUUUUAGGUUCCACAUUAUGAAUAACCUUUAAGAAAGUCAUACUUAUCAAGUUUGAGUGUAUUAUCAAAGAAGACUAUUCAUUUACAACUAUCUAUAAAGACUAUUAAAAUUCACAUAUGUUUUCAAUUAUAUGAUGUGUACAAGGCUGGAUUUUCUUAAUUUAUUUCAACCAGAGCACCAUGACAUAAAAUAUUGCUUAGUAAAACAAUAACCCACAGCAAUCUCUAUUCAGCGUAACAUUAGGGAGAUUUGCAAAAAUGGAAAACAUGAACAGUACCAUUCUUCUCACUAAAAUUUUAUUUGAAAACUACAGGGUUUCAUUUGUGCGUUAUUGUUGUGUUAUUUAUUUUUGGUGUUACUAGGGAUCAAACCCAGGACCUUGAGUAGUAACCUACAUCUCUGAAAUCAUGUUAAUUUAGGAAAAUAGACAGAACUGAAGAUCAUUGUGUUAUGUGAAGUAAACCAGACUCAGAAAAACAAGUAUUAUGUUUUUUGGAUAUGAGGGAUUUAGGAAGAAAACAACAAUAUGAAAGUAGAGGGGAAACUACCGGAGAAAAGGAAAGGGACUGGGAGUAGGGAAAAAAGAGGGUCACAGGGAGGAUGCAGUGAUUUUAACCAUGAUGUCACCUUGAAUAAAGUCCACCUAGCCGAUUGGUUUAGCAGAGUUCUUGAUGUGUCUGGAUGAUUGACUUACUGACAAGGGAAGACCCACCCUGUAUAUAAGUGGCACCAAUCAAAAGGCUUGUAGCUUUUGUAGCAAAAGGGUAAAAGAAUGUCUCUCUGUGGCUUCUACUUCAGAGCUCCAGUCUUCUCCAUCAUCUUUGCCAUCCACCUCCAGGCUUUCAGCACAAACUUUCAGCCUUCUAGUGCAGACCCUUUGGCGCCUGAUCCUGAUUCACAUGGGACACUGCAGUGAGCUCAGGGCCUUCAACUUCUGACUGGAUCCUCCAGCUCUCUGGUGCACAGGCAGCCCUUUUGCAUUCUUCCACACCUGAUCCUGCAGGUUGUCAAUGUAAGCCUGCUUUGUAAAUCCUAUCAUACAUAUACAUAUAUUUUUAAAAUUUUAAAUCUGUUCUAGUGAACUAUAAUGAAUAUGAGUAUCAUCAAAAUAUCAUACACAUGUUUACAAAUGUCAUUAAAAUCCCAUAUUUCUGUACAAUGAAUAUGUGCUAAUUGAGAACAUUAUUUAUGUUAAAUGCAGUGGGAUAGUUAAUUAUUGGUUCUUAAAUGAAUUAGUAUUAAUAUUUUUGAAACAGGCUCUAUGUAAUUCAGGCUAGCUUUUAACUCAUUAUGUAGCCUGAACUGGCCUUGAACUCAUGGUGAUCCUCCUGAUGCCCCAUGCCCAGCUAGUAUUAAAAUUUUAAAACUCUAUUUCAAUUUGUACUUUUAUAAAUUAGUGUAUAUAAUAUAUAAUUAAAAUUUGUUUGUGUCUUCAGUAGUCUUUCAAAGUAUAAAGGAGCCCUAAACCCACAAGUUAUGAGAACUCUGCUUUUUUUGGGAAAAAAUUCUCUACUAAUUGUGAUAUCUAUCAUAUCUGUGAAUUGUUAUUAAAUGCUGUCUUUAUUUCACAAAUUGUACCAGUCAAAGGGAAAAAUCUGAGGCUCAGAUUUUAUUUCAAAAGAUUUGAAACACUUGUCAUAUUAUAAUAAAAUUAUAAGUCCAUUCAUACUUCCUCUUCUCUACAGCUUUUGUUGAGACUAUAAAUCAACACUCUGAGUAGUCCUAAGGGAAUUCUGCAAUGGCACUGAUGCUACACUUGUAGCCAACCUAUACCAACUUUUAUUGCCUCAUAUCAGAAAGCAUGAGUGUUGACUCUCCCUCUUCUCAGAAAGUUUUUUUGCCUUCCUAGAACACACACUAUGAGGCUCCCAUGAGUUUUUAUUUUUCUCCUGCCUUUGGGGAUCUUAAUCCCGUGGAGCUCUAACCACAAAACCUAAAGCUUCCUUCUGUUUCCUCCUGACAGCCCACGGGAAGUCUCUAAAUAGGGCAUUUACAAGUGAAAAUUAGACUUGGAUCCAUAGAUCAAGGUUUAUGCAAUUUGCUACAGUCAUGACCAUGUUCCCGAAUUCAUAAAUAUACAUUUAUUUAAUAAAAAGAUAUAGAAACAGGAUGUUUGUUAGAUAAACUUUUUAAAGUUACCUAACCAGAUAUUUUUUAUCAGUACAGAAGUUUUAAAUAAGGAAAUGUGGAGAUACACCAUGACAUGUGAGGCGGGGGUGGAGAUGAGCACUAGAGACCGCAGUGUAAUCUGAGAUGUCACAACCUAAGAAGUAGGCUGAGGGGCCUUCCUGAUAAUUUAGGUCUCUGCCCCUGAGGAUAUAGAUAAGUCUAGAAUACUGAAGAAGAAUCAUUUGAGUUACUAUUGUACAUCCUGUAACAAUCCUAUCUUUGUCCCCAGGAAAUUCCUGACUAUCUUGAAAGUAAGAUUUAGGGGGGUAAUGAGGAGAGAUAUUUAUUUUCUGCGUGAGUGCUCUUCAGAGAGGAUCCUCAUUGCUGCCUGGCUCAUCAAGCAGCAAUUCACAUUUGACCCACCUGUUUCACCUUCUAACUUUACAUUCUCACCUUAUCUCUCAAAAUAAUAGUAUGCUCAUUUUUGUCUGAGCAAAUUUUAGUCAGCUGUAACUCUCUUUCCCAGCUUCCCUUUUCUCUAAGUACUAAUGGAAGUCUCCUAUAAAACUUCCCAAAACCCUCAGUAGGGAAGAGAAUGUACUCUUCCAUACCUUUUCUCUACCCUUCCCCUAGAAAGCAGACAGGAUUCUUCUGUAGUGACCGUCCUGGGGAUCUGCAGGAUGGAUAUGACUACAGGUCAUGUUUGCUCUGUAGCAGAGUGGUGAUCUGAUAGGAAUUUGAGUCCCUGUGGCCAUGCAGCUGUGGAUUGUUCUCCCGUACAAUUCUGUGUGUGAAAAAAUGAAUAAACUUUUUAUCUUACUUAAACCAUGUCCUUUCAAGUUUCUGCUACAAAAAGCCCCGUGCUGUUCUAACGGGUAUACCAUCCACCACCUUUUUCAUUUUUACUUUUCCAAAGUAUAUGUAGAGCUAGGCUAUUU
This 4851-nucleotide long non-coding RNA is filed under the name Chinchilla lanigera (long-tailed chinchilla). RNAcentral's name for it is "lncRNA (ENSCLAG00000025197.1)". The record is from RNAcentral. Lineage: Eukaryota; Metazoa; Chordata; Mammalia; Rodentia; Chinchillidae.